UACACUCCUGCGGGAGGUAGCAGUGGGGAAUAUUGGACAAUGGGCGCAAGCCUGAUCCAGCCAUGCCGCGUGAGUGAUGAAGGCCCUAGGGUUGUAAAGCUCUUUCACCGGUGAAGAUAAUGACGGUAACCGGAGAAGAAGCCCCGGCUAACUUCGUGCCAGCAGCCGCGGUAAUACGAAGGGGGCUAGCGUUGUUCGGAUUUACUGGGCGUAAAGCGCACGUAGGCGGACUAUUAAGUCAGGGGUGAAAUCCCGGGGCUCAACCCCGGAACUGCCUUUGAUACUGGUAGUCUUGAGUUCGAGAGAGGUGAGUGGAAUUCCGAGUGUAGAGGUGAAAUUCGUAGAUAUUCGGAGGAACACCAGUGGCGAAGGCGGCUCACUGGCUCGAUACUGACGCUGAGGUGCGAAAGCGUGGGGAGCAAACAGGAUUAGAUACCCCGGUAGUCCCA
This 449-nucleotide ribosomal RNA is filed under the name uncultured organism. RNAcentral's name for it is "partial 16S ribosomal RNA". It matches the Rfam family "Bacterial small subunit ribosomal RNA", at positions 332 to 797 of the family's 1533-position model. The record is from RNAcentral.